CAGCCGCCGCGGGAAUACGUAGGGUGCAAGCGUUAAUCGGAAUUACUGGGCGUAAAGCGUGCGCAGGCGGUUAUAUAAGACAGAUGUGAAAUCCCCGGGCUCAACCUGGGAACUGCAUUUGUGACUGUAUAGCUAGAGUACGGCAGAGGGGGAUGGAAUUCCGCGUGUAGCAGUGAAAUGCGUAGAUAUGCGGAGGAACACCGAUGGCGAAGGCAAUCCCCUGGGCCUGUACUGACGCUCAUGCACGAAAGCGUGGGGAGCAAACAGGAUUAGAUACCCGAGUAGUUCCUGUCUCUUAUAC
Molecule: ribosomal RNA, 301 nt
Filed under: uncultured bacterium
Lineage: Bacteria
Description: partial 16S ribosomal RNA
Rfam family: Bacterial small subunit ribosomal RNA
Source: RNAcentral